Non-coding RNA from Homo sapiens (human), 147 nucleotides. It matches the Rfam family "Metazoan signal recognition particle RNA". From Rfam's summary of the family: The signal recognition particle (SRP) is a universally conserved ribonucleoprotein. It is involved in the co-translational targeting of proteins to membranes. NCBI's taxonomy places the organism in Eukaryota, Metazoa, Chordata, Mammalia, Primates, Hominidae. The record is from Rfam.
GCUGGGUGUGGUGGCGCACACCUGUAUUCCAGCUGCUUGGGAGGCUGAGGCACAAGAAUCGCUUGAACCCAGGAGGCAGAGGCUGCAGUGAGCCGAGAUGGCGCCACUGCACUCCAGCCUGGGUGACAGAGUGGGACUCUGUCUCAA